This 77-nucleotide transfer RNA is filed under the name Litorivivens lipolytica. RNAcentral describes it as "tRNA-Arg". It matches the Rfam family "tRNA". Rfam says of the family: Transfer RNA (tRNA) molecules are approximately 80 nucleotides in length. Their secondary structure includes four short double-helical elements and three loops (D, anti-codon, and T loops). Further hydrogen bonds mediate the characteristic L-shaped molecular structure. tRNAs have two regions of fundamental functional importance: the anti-codon, which is responsible for specific mRNA codon recognition, and the 3' end, to which the tRNAs corresponding amino acid is attached (by aminoacyl-tRNA synthetases). tRNAs cope with the degeneracy of the genetic code in two manners: having more than one tRNA (with a specific anti-codon) for a particular amino acid; and 'wobble' base-pairing, i.e. permitting non-standard base-pairing at the 3rd anti-codon position. The record is from RNAcentral. Lineage: Bacteria; Pseudomonadati; Pseudomonadota; Gammaproteobacteria. RNAcentral also lists the same sequence under 1 other name.
GCCCCGGUGGCACAGCUGGAUAGCGCGGUCCCCUCCUAAGGGACAGGUCUCAGGUUCGAAUCCUGAUCGGGGCACCA